GAAUGUGACACGGAAAGAUGAAGGCUUCUACAGGUGUGCGUCAGACAGCUGCAGAGUCCAGAGAGCUGGUUAUCAGUGAGACCGGACAGAGGUCAGCUGAACAUCAUCACUCUGCUGUGUGUUCUAUAGAAGUGGAUCAGUGUCACAUAUCAACUGUUGUUUCUUUUAGGAAACUUCACAUCAGAGGAGACUCCAGCCUCCACUGGUUCCUGGAAAUGGAUCAUUGCUUCAUGUGGGGUUCUACUUCUGAUCGUCAUUCCUUUGACUGUUUGGCUCGUUUGUCACUACAGUUACCAGAAGUUCUGCACUUGGAGCUGCUGGCCUGUUUCCAAACAGGAAGUUCCAGCAGGGGUGCUUCCUGCCACCAAGUUGGAUGUGACAGAGGUGCAGUGGGACCUGUCGUGGAUGGAGAUGUCCAACCUGUUGGAAAAGGAUUCUUAUUGUGGCACUUAAAGGGAAACUCUCUUCUGAAGCCCAGAGACUUAACUAUUGGGUCAAACCUAUGAGAAAGCUCAGUCAGUGCUGCAAUUUGUAGUAUUUUAUGGUCACAUGUCAAAAUAGUGCUACCUGAUAUAUUUUUGAAUUGAAUUAAAUGAGAUGUUUAGGAUUUAUAAGGAUGACUACAUUUGCUGAUGGUGCAGAUUUGACAGCUUCCAAUACAAAUGUUAUUGUUUCAGUUGUCACAUUUGUCAAUGUCAAUACUCUUGCACAUUUAAACGUCUCUCCUUUGAGUACAUUUUGAAACUAAGAAUCGUAUUUGUUAUAUCUUAUUAUCUAAUCAUUAAUAUAAUUGACUGUUCUAAAUCAUUUUACAUGUAUCAUUUCUCCUGUGUUUGUUCGAGGUUCCAUGUUGUUUGCUCCCUUUGAAUCGUUAUUUGCUAUUUCUUGUCGUCUGAAGUUAUAAAAGUCAUGGAAAUCGU
This is a long non-coding RNA of Pleuronectes platessa (European plaice), 920 nucleotides long. RefSeq lists it as uncharacterized. NCBI's taxonomy places the organism in Eukaryota, Metazoa, Chordata, Actinopteri, Pleuronectiformes, Pleuronectidae. The record is from RefSeq and is a predicted model, not a curated record. The transcript has 3 exons.